AAGUCGUAACAAGGUUUCCGUAGGUGAACCUGCGGAAGGAUCAUUAACACGUAUCCAACGUUAAAACAACCCCCGUGAACUUUCAGCUUGCUCCUGUAGCCCGUGAAAACAGCAAUCCCUGGUAAAUCAUUGUUGACCAGCUUUUGAGUCAGGGACCUCUGCCGAUUGUGAUAUUUUAUAGCUACGGUUGAGCGAUUGCAUCUAGUGACCUGGCAUCCCCAAGUAAUCAGUGUCUGAAUGUGUCAUUGAUGAUGUAAGGAUGGCGCAGUCACGAUCGCUGUAGGCCGCGUGAAAUUCGCACGGCACCAAAACCCGAACACCUGUUAACAAUGGAUAUCUUGGUUCUC
This 347-nucleotide unclassified non-coding RNA is filed under the name fungal sp. Its description in RNAcentral is "partial internal transcribed spacer region". The stretch from base 1 to 46 matches the Rfam family "Eukaryotic small subunit ribosomal RNA", at positions 1786 to 1831 of the family's 1831-position model. Lineage: Eukaryota; Fungi. The record is from RNAcentral.